This 253-nucleotide ribosomal RNA is filed under the name uncultured bacterium. Its description in RNAcentral is "partial 16S ribosomal RNA". It matches the Rfam family "Bacterial small subunit ribosomal RNA", at positions 524 to 776 of the family's 1533-position model. The record is from RNAcentral.
UACGGAGGGUGCAAGCGUUAUCCGGAUUCACUGGGCUUAAAGGGUGCGUAGGAGGGCAGGUAAGUCAGUGGUGAAAUCUUCUCGCUUAACGAGAAAACUGCCAUUGAUACUGCUAGGCUUGAGUACAGAUGCCGUUGGCGGAAUAUGACAUGUAGUGGUGAAAUACAUAGAGAUGUCAUAGAACACCGAUUGCGAAGGCAGCUAACGAAACUGUAACUGACACUGAGGCUCGAAAGUGCGGGGAUCAAACAGG